This is an RNA transcript of Nymphaea colorata (pocket water lily), 2079 nucleotides long. It is a transcript of the gene named ABC transporter I family member 1, with no coding region annotated. Lineage: Eukaryota; Viridiplantae; Streptophyta; Magnoliopsida; Nymphaeales; Nymphaeaceae. The transcript has 4 exons. The record is from RefSeq and is a predicted model, not a curated record.
GGUAUGAUUUUGUUGCUGGCACUGAUAACAGUGCAAAAAAGACAGUCAUCCACCCGCGUUUGGUAUGAGAUUUUGCCAUUGAUGAUUUCGUUGUCAUCUUCUCAGUUGUCGCAGAAAUCUUCUUCUUCUCACCCAAACUGUAGGCUUCCUCACAAACUCAAGCAACCGAAGCCCCAUCUCAAGCUUCAACAGGGCAUUGUCUCCUUCAACCCCGAAGUCGUCAGUUCUGGGCUGAACACAUAUCCUGCAUCGGCAUGGAAGGGUGAGAGUGCAAGAUUCGUCACAGAAGAGAGCGUAUCAGAGAGAGGGGGAGAGAGCAUGCCGCCUCCGCUUCCGAGGGUGGCUUUACACAACGUCUCGUGCAUGCGCAACGCCCAAGUGGUGCUCCGCGACAUCAACGUUUCCGUGCACGACGGCGGGGCACUCGUGCUGACGGGCAGCAAUGGUGCAGGCAAAUCCACCUUCCUCCGCAUGCUGGCCGGGUUCUCACGGCCAUCGGCGGGGCGCAUCCUAUGGGAUGGCCACGACGUUACCUCCGCAGGCGUCGCUGCCCAGUGGCGUCUGCAGCUCAACUGGCUCUCCCUCAAGGACGCGAUCAAGGAAGACCUCACCGUCCUCGACAAUGUUCAAUGGUUCGAGGUGCUCGAGAAAAAGGAUGGCCUUCGCUCCCUCCCUGCCCUGGAGUUCAUGGGCCUCGGCCGCCUCGUCCACGAGAAGGCCCGCAUCCUCUCGAUGGGACAGCGCAAGCGCCUCCAGUUGGCCCGCAUGCUGGCCAUUGACCGCCCGAUCUGGCUCAUGGAUGAGCCCUCCGUCGCCCUCGACUACGACGGUGUCAAACUCCUUGAGGCCAUGAUCGCUGACCACCGGAAGAAGGGGGGCAUCGUCUUCGUCGCCACUCACCUUCCCAUCGAGAUGGAGGAUGCCAUGAAUCUUAGGCUGCCGCCCAGGUUCCCCCGGAGGAAGAUCCUCGUCGACCUUGUGCGUUGAUCCCUGUUUCUUGAUUGCGGACGAAUCCAAUCGACAGUCCAGGAGAGUGUGAAUGCUUGAACGCAUCCGUUAUAUAAAAAAAGAAAUGGGGAGAGACUGUGAUAUGAGGGAAAAUUGUCAGUGGAGCCUCUGAACAUUGAUAUGAAAAUUUGAGAUGUUGCUUACUUAGAUAUCGGCGGAUGCUAUACCAAACAUCCUCAGAGGAGGUCUUCUCAAAGCAAAAGUUGGGAAGAGAUCACCAAUGUCAGUUGAAGAUCUCAGCCACUUCAUCUCAGCAACCAUGAGUGGUGUGACCUGCUUCGUUAGUUUCCAUGGCCAGCUCAACUCUGAUUCUGGAAACCUGAUGUGAACCUUAUCCCCUACCCAGGCUUCCGUUUCUUCAUGGUCUGUUUUUGCCCAACUCUCUUCCUGUGGAUCCCAGCGGUUCCAUGCCCUCACUGUUCCUGAGCUCACCCAACAAUUGUGGGAUGCCAAGAACAUGAUGUGUGCUGCACAGUGCACACCCUCAUCAUGGCAGUUAUUUUAUUGCCACAGAAGCACCAAGAAGUACAUGAGCAGGUAAUAAUUAAUGUUCAGAAUAAGAACUCUUCCUCCUCGAUUGAGUGCAUUCCCAACAUCAAGUCCGACAUUCCUUGGCAAAUCUACAUCCAUCCAUUAGAUGUUUUGCAGCAUAAAUGAGCAAUCCACGGCUACGUGAAGGAGGAAAGCUUUCUUGUACUGUGUACACUGGUGAAGACAUGGAUGAGAUGGAGUCAAAGGCUGAGAGCAACAUGAACAACCUGGUGUUGGAUAUGAAAAGAACCAGGAUGCAACUGCAGCCAAGGAGUGCGAGCAAGAGGAAAUGGAGGAGAAGUCAGCUGCCUGAGUACCUGUGUCCUACUUAAAUUGCUUUCCUCUCUAUCUAGUUGUGUAUCAACAAUUCCUUAAUCUGCUUGUUGUCUGCUUCUGUAGAUUUUCAGAAUGUGGACCUAGAAAAAUUGUAUUCUGGCUUAGGAAGGGGUCUGCAGUGGUAUUGUGUGUUGAUUCUUUUUCCUUUUUCUUUGCCUAUUUUCUCAUUUAUGAUGAUCGAUGAAAGAUGGCUGGUUAUGGUUU